Haemonchus contortus (barber pole worm) is the source of this 75-nucleotide non-coding RNA. The record is from Rfam. Lineage: Eukaryota; Metazoa; Nematoda; Chromadorea; Rhabditida; Trichostrongylidae.
GGCCCAAACCUGAAAUAAGGUAGAUUAGUAAGGUCAGCUGAUCUUACUGUUCUACUGUACUUCGAAAUUGGGCCC